RNAcentral lists this ribosomal RNA (244 nucleotides) under uncultured bacterium. RNAcentral describes it as "partial 16S ribosomal RNA". It matches the Rfam family "Bacterial small subunit ribosomal RNA", at positions 118 to 348 of the family's 1533-position model. The record is from RNAcentral.
UGGGUAACCUGCCUCAAAGAGGGGAAUAGCCUCCCGAAAGGGAGAUUAAUACCGCAUAAUAUGUUUAAGUCGCAUGACUUUAACAUCAAAGGAUUUUCUUUUAAGAAAUUCCACUUUGAGAUGGACCCGCGGCGCAUUAGCUAGUUGGUGAGGUAACGGCUCACCAAGGCAACGAUGCGUAGCCGACCUGAGAGGGUGAUCGGCCACAUUGGAACUGAGACACGGUCCAGACUCCGUAGGGAGG